CGUGUAGGCGGUCGGUCAAGUCUGAUGUGAAAGCCCGGGGCUCAGCUCCGGAAGUGCAUUGGAAACUAGCCGACUGGAGCGCGAUAGAGGAGGGUGGAAUUCCUGGUGUAGCGGUGAAAUGCGUAGAUAUCAGGAGGAACACCGGCGGCGAAGGCGGCCCUCUGGAUCGUUGCUGACGCUGAGACGCGACAGCGUGGGGAGCAAACAGGAUUAGAUACCCUGGUAGUCCACGCCGUAAACUAUGGGUACUAGGUGUUCGGGGUGUUGACCCCCUGAGUGCCGCAGCUAACGCAUUAAGAACCCCGCCUGGGGACUACGGCCGCAAGGUUAAA
Molecule: ribosomal RNA, 332 nt
Filed under: uncultured bacterium
Lineage: Bacteria
Description: bacterial SSU rRNA
Rfam family: Bacterial small subunit ribosomal RNA
Source: RNAcentral